AAACCUGAGGAACCCGAAAGAUCGAAUGGGGAGAUUCAGCGUCAGCGGCGGUUGGCUCGGCGAGUGGACGAUGUCGUGGACCACGGUAUCGCGACACUUUAUCACUUGCCGCGUCCGGCGUCGUCGUCGUGCACUUCUCCCCUAGUAGAACGUCGCGACCCGUUGGGUGUCGGUCUACGGCACGAGGUGUCAAGACUGUCGCGUCGCUUCGGCGCAUGCGGCAGACCCUCGUUUGCCUGGCCGGCUGCCCGGCGGUAGAACGCACGGUAUCUGGCCGCAAUUUCGAAAUGCGUCGGGCCCGUCGCAAGCGAGGUCAGUGUCACGGAGUAGACGGACCUAGUGCCGUCCCCGUGCCUGGCCAGCUGUUGGCAGACGGAGUCCUUAGACGGGCAGAAUAUGAUUGUACCGGUCGGCGACGCUACUGCUUUGGGUACUCUCAGGACCCGUCUUGAAACACGGACCAAGGAGUCUAACAUGUGCGCGAGUCAUUGGGAUUGUAAAGCCUAAAGGCGCAAUGAAAGUGAAGGUCGGCUUCGCGUCGACCGAGGGAGGAUGAGCCGCGCCACGACGCGGCUCCGCACUCCCGGGGCGUCUCGUUCUCAUUGCGAGAAGAGGCGCACCCAGAGCGUACACGUUGGGACCCGAAAGAUGGUGAACUAUGCCUGGUCAGGACGAAGUCAGGGGAAACCCUGAUGGAGGUCCGUAGCGAUUCUGACGUGCAAAUCGAUCGUCGGAACUGGGUAUAGGGGCGAAAGACUAAUCGAACCAUCUAGUAGCUGGUUCCCUCCGAAGUUUCCCUCAGGAUAGCUGGCACUCGCCCGUUCUCACGAACGUAUAAGAGUCUCAUCUGGUAAAGCGAAUGAUUAGAGGCCUUGGGGCCGAAACGACCUCAACCUAUUCUCAAACUUUAAAUGGGUGAGAUCUCUGGCUUGCUUGAAUAUUGAAGCCACGAGAUUUCGGAUCAGAGUGCCAAGUGGGCCAAUUUU
RNAcentral lists this ribosomal RNA (986 nucleotides) under Ancistroceroides alastoroides. RNAcentral's name for it is "eukaryotic LSU rRNA". It matches the Rfam family "Eukaryotic large subunit ribosomal RNA", at positions 417 to 1138 of the family's 3401-position model. The record is from RNAcentral. Lineage: Eukaryota; Metazoa; Arthropoda; Insecta; Hymenoptera; Vespidae.